GAUGAGUACAAAGAAUAUCAAAAUGGGUUGGCAAAACUUGAAGAAAAAUAUUUUUUGGAAAUUCUUUGACUGAUAAAACAUCAACAAACAAUGUGUUCCUCUUCAGCCUUUGAAUUGGUAAUGACCUAAGAACAGUCUCAGUUGAAAUAAUCGAAGUACAAAGUACAAUAACAUCAGGGUGUUGCUCACAAAGAUCAUGUGGAUCUUGAAAAAAGGAAACCCCUAAAGAAAUAGCAAUUUGGGAAUAAUCUGUUCUUGAAUGAGCCAACACAAAAU
Molecule: unclassified non-coding RNA, 276 nt
Filed under: Hevea brasiliensis (rubber tree)
Lineage: Eukaryota; Viridiplantae; Streptophyta; Magnoliopsida; Malpighiales; Euphorbiaceae
Source: RNAcentral